UAGGGAAUCUUCGGCAAUGGACGAAAGUCUGACCGAGCAACGCCGCGUGAGUGAAGAAGGUUUUCGGAUCGUAAAACUCUGUUGUUAGAGAAGAACAAGGACGUUAGUAACUGAACGUCCCCUGACGGUAUCUAACCAGAAAGCCACGGCUAACUACGUGCCAGCAGCCGCGGUAAUACGUAGGUGGCAAGCGUUGUCCGGAUUUAUUGGGCGUAAAGCGAGCGCAGGCGGUUUCUUAAGUCUGAUGUGAAAGCCCCCGGCUCAACCGGGGAGAGUCAUUGGAAACUGGGAGACUUGAGUGCAGAAGAGGAGAGUGGAAUUCCAUGUGUAGCAGUGAAAUGCGUAGAUAUAUGGAGGAACACCAGUGGCGAAGGCGGCUCUCUGGUCUGUAACUGACGCUGAGGCUCGAAAGCGUGGGGAGCAAACAGG
RNAcentral lists this ribosomal RNA (429 nucleotides) under Gemmatimonadota bacterium. RNAcentral describes it as "Gemmatimonadetes bacterium partial 16S ribosomal RNA". It matches the Rfam family "Bacterial small subunit ribosomal RNA", at positions 355 to 776 of the family's 1533-position model. The record is from RNAcentral. Lineage: Bacteria; Pseudomonadati; Gemmatimonadota.